GACGAACGCUGGCGGCGUGCUUAACACAUGCAAGUCGAACGAUGAAGUUCCUUCGGGAAUGGAUUAGUGGCGAACGGGUGAGGAACACGUGAGAAACCUGCCUUUCAUUUUGGGAUAACUCCGGGAAACCGGGGCAAAAACCGAAUACUCCGUCUCGGCGGCAUCGCUGAGCCGGGAAAAAAUUUUGAUGAAAGAUGGUCUCGCGGCCUAUCAGCUAGUUGGUGAGGUAAUGGCUCACCAAGGCAACGACGGGUAGCCGGCCUGAGAGGGCGACCGGCCACACUGGGACUGAGACACGGCCCAGACUCCUACGGGAGGCAACAGUGGGGAAUAUUGGGCAAUGGGCGCAAGCCUGACCCAGCGACGCCGCGUGAGGGAUGAAGGCCUUCGGGUUGUAAACCUCUUUCAGUAGGGAAGAAGCGAAAGUGACGGUACCUAAAGAAGAAGCACCGGCUAACUAUGUGCCAGCAGCCGCCGUAA
This 480-nucleotide ribosomal RNA is filed under the name uncultured bacterium. RNAcentral's name for it is "partial 16S ribosomal RNA". It matches the Rfam family "Bacterial small subunit ribosomal RNA", at positions 28 to 523 of the family's 1533-position model. The record is from RNAcentral.